RNAcentral lists this ribosomal RNA (568 nucleotides) under fungal sp. NLR-2013. RNAcentral describes it as "eukaryotic LSU rRNA". The stretch from base 202 to 355 matches the Rfam family "5.8S ribosomal RNA". Lineage: Eukaryota; Fungi. The record is from RNAcentral.
GCGGAGGGAUCAUUGUUGGAACGCGCUCCGGCGCACCUCCAGACAACCCUUUGUGAACUUAUACCUAUACUGUUGCCUCGGCGUCAGGCUGGCUCCCCUCGGGGGGUCCCUCACCAUCUCGGUGAGGAGCAGGCCCGCCGGCGGCCAAGUUAACUCUUGUUUUUACACUGAAACUCUGAGAAUAAAACAAAAAUGAAUCAAAACUUUCAACAACGGAUCUCUUGGUUCUGGCAUCGAUGAAGAACGCAGCGAAAUGCGAUAAGUAAUGUGAAUUGCAGAAUUCAGUGAAUCAUCGAAUCUUUGAACGCACAUUGCGCCCUCUGGUAUUCCGGAGGGCAUGCCUGUUCGAGCGUCAUUUCAACCCUCAAGCCUGGCUUGGUGAUGGGACACUGCCUUUGAGAAAAGGCAGGUCCUGAAAUUCAGUGGCGAGCUCGCCAGGACCCCGAGCGCAGUAGUUAAACCCUCGCUUUGGAAGGUCUUGGUGCGGCCCUGCCGUUAAACCCCCAACUUCUGAAAAUUUGACCUCGGAUCAGGUAGGAAUACCCGCUGAACUUAAGCAUAUCAAUAG